This 1068-nucleotide long non-coding RNA is filed under the name Heterocephalus glaber (naked mole-rat). Its description in RNAcentral is "lncRNA (ENSHGLG00100036717.1)". Lineage: Eukaryota; Metazoa; Chordata; Mammalia; Rodentia; Bathyergidae. The record is from RNAcentral.
GCCAUCAUCUACAAAUACUGUUCUUUUCUUGGAGGUGGUGGAAUGUUAACAGUGGCAUAAUUUCUCACACUCUGUGUGCUUCGAAAGGGCCUUUUAGUCAUUAUUUACUUACAAGAAUGUCAUGGGCUGUGCUGGGUCUGGCAGAGAGCUGAGGCCCUUGCCAGCCAGGGCUGCAGACUGCAGAGCCCCUACUUCCUCUGGCCUUGUCUUCAGCACCAGCUGUCCCUGCUCCUCUAGGCAAGGGUUGGAGGACCUGGAGUUCAGGGUACCUGCAUCUCAGUGAGGCAUAGACCUUAAGAGGUGCUCAGAGGCCAAGGAAUGAAUCACCCAUUAGCCUGAGGGCACACUGCAGUGCAUUUUGACUCUGGUAUCCAGGAGCACUUAUUCUACUUUGGGGAAGUACGUCAGGGCUAUAUAGAUGGCUUUAAAAAUGAGUCAACUGUAACAAUGCUAUUGAUAUAAAAUCACAAUUCCAGUGGCAAAAUUUCCUUCUAAUUUGUUUUGCUAUCACCCAUGCUUGCUGGCCUGUUGCUGAUGUGAAUGCUAUUUUCACAAAAGCUAAGUCUUUGUUAGAGUCUCCUCCUUGGGUUUUCCCUCCUUUUUGCAGUCCCUCAGACUCGCCUCCUGCAGGAAGCCUGAUAAUAGCUGUGCCUGAAUUUCAAUUCGCUAAUUUCUUCAGCCUGAAAGCUGUCAUCUAGGAUUACCUUGAAGAGAUUCAUUUUGCUGUCUGUAGCUCACUGCUAUGAAUCAUAUGUAAUCAACAGUUACAUCCCUGUGCUCUACAGUCAAAUUCUUCUCUAGCCCCAUCAAAGCACAGCCAGGGUAAACUGUAGAUACAUAAAACAUUCAGAUGUGGAAAGCCUUAUUGUCCCCUCAGAAUUCCAUCAUGCAUUGAGGGAGAUACAAUGGAGCUAUAUCCCCCAAAUCCCUUGAUGUCUUCUUAAAUGACAGAACUAAAGAUGUAGAAGGGAAAUAUGGCUGAUGGAGAAUCUUCCAAAAUAGUAAAAUGCAUGAAUCAUACAGUCUUAAAUAUUAUAGCCUAUCCAGGAAAAAUAUGUUAUAUGGAUG